UACGUAGGGGGCGAGCGUUGUCCGGAAUGAUUGGGCGUAAAGGGCGCGUAGGCGGCCCUAUAAGUCUGAAGUGAAAGUCCUGUUUUCAAGAUGGGAAUUGCUUUGGAUACUGUAGAGCUUGAGUGCAGGAGAGGUAAGUGGAAUUCCCAGUGUAGCGGUGAAAUGCGUAGAGAUUGGGAGGAACACCAGUGGCGAAGGCGACUUACUGGACUGUAACUGACGCUGAGGCGCGAAAGUGUGGGGAG
RNAcentral lists this ribosomal RNA (245 nucleotides) under uncultured Bacillota bacterium. RNAcentral describes it as "uncultured Firmicutes bacterium partial 16S ribosomal RNA". It matches the Rfam family "Bacterial small subunit ribosomal RNA", at positions 524 to 768 of the family's 1533-position model. Lineage: Bacteria; Bacillati; Bacillota. The record is from RNAcentral.